AACGAACGCUGGCGGCAGGCCUAACACAUGCAAGUCGAGCGAACCCUUCGGGGUUAGCGGCGGACGGGUUAGUAACGCGUGGGAAUAUACCCUUUGGUACGGAAUAGCCUCGGGAAACUGAGAGUAAUACCGUAUGUGCCCUUCGGGGAAGAUUAUCGCCAAAGGAUUAGCCCGCGUUGGAUUAGGUAGUUGGUGGGGUAAGUGGCCUACCAAGCCUACGAUCCAUAGCUGGUUUGAGAGGAUGAUCAGCAACACUGGGGACUGAGACACGGCCCAGACUCCUACGGGAGGCAGCAGUGGGGGAAUCUUAGACAAUGGGCGCAAGCCUGAUCUA
RNAcentral lists this ribosomal RNA (334 nucleotides) under uncultured bacterium. Its description in RNAcentral is "bacterial SSU rRNA". It matches the Rfam family "Bacterial small subunit ribosomal RNA", at positions 29 to 390 of the family's 1533-position model. The record is from RNAcentral.